This 209-nucleotide long non-coding RNA is filed under the name Elaeis guineensis (African oil palm). RNAcentral's name for it is "long non-coding RNA (EGUI_LNC009479)". Lineage: Eukaryota; Viridiplantae; Streptophyta; Magnoliopsida; Arecales; Arecaceae. The record is from RNAcentral.
UCCAUCCGCACCCCUCUUCCUUUCGAAGACCCACUUACACCCUAUGGAUUUAACCCCUUCAGGUGGGUCAACUAAUGUCCAUACAUCAUUGAUCUUCAUGGACUCCAUUUUGAAUUUUAUGACUUCAAGUGAUUUAUCAGAGUCGGACCUCUGCAUUGCAUCUAUAUAGGUGAUCAGAUCCUUAUUGUUCUUAUCGAGACAGGAUCUCC